AGAAAAAAAUGAUUGCGAUCCAAAACCUGGAAAGGGAAUUUCAGGAACAAACUGUUAUGAAUCAGCACCUGGAAAGGGAAUUUCAGGAACAAACUAUUAGGACCCGAAACCUGGAAAGGGAAUGUCAGAAAUCCUCUGCUCCUGUUGGGGAUCCCGCUCCCGACAUGCAAGCUUGUUAUGAAGAGGAAGAUGUUCGUCUGUUCAUUUAAUAACAAUAUGUCUUCACACAGAGUUCAUUUUACUUUUGAAAGACUUUUGUUU
Long non-coding RNA from Polypterus senegalus (gray bichir), 261 nucleotides. RefSeq lists it as uncharacterized. The transcript is spliced from 4 exons. The record is from RefSeq and is a predicted model, not a curated record. NCBI's taxonomy places the organism in Eukaryota, Metazoa, Chordata, Cladistia, Polypteriformes, Polypteridae.